RNAcentral lists this ribosomal RNA (460 nucleotides) under uncultured bacterium. RNAcentral describes it as "partial 16S ribosomal RNA". It matches the Rfam family "Bacterial small subunit ribosomal RNA", at positions 338 to 795 of the family's 1533-position model. The record is from RNAcentral.
CCUACGGGAGACAGCAGUGAGGAAUAUUGGUCAAUGGGCGAGAGCCUGAACCAGCCAAGUCGCGUGAAGGAUGACUGCCCUACGGGUUGUAAACUUCUUUUAUAUAGGAAUAAAGUGAGGAACGUGUGCCUUUUUGUAUGUACCUUAUGAAUAAGGAUCGGCUAACUCCGUGCCAGCAGCCGCGGUAAUACGGAGGAUGCGAGCGUUAUCCGGAUUUAUUGGGUUUAAAGGGAGCGUAGGUGGGUUGUUAAGUCAGUUGUGAAAGUUUGUGGCUCAACCGUAAAAUUGCAAUUGAUACUGGCAGUCUUGAGUACAGUUGAGGUAGGCGGAAUUCGUGGUGUAGCGGUGAAAUGCAUAGAUAUCACGAAGAACUCCGAUUGCGAAGGCAGCUUACUAAACUGUCACUGACACUGAUGCUCGAAAGCGUGGGGAGCAAACAGGAUUAGAUACCCUAGUAGUC